UACGGAGGGAGCUAGCGUUGUUCGGAAUUACUGGGCGUAAAGAGCGCGCAGGCGGUCGUUCAAGUCGAGUGUGAAAGCCCCCGGCUCAACUGGGGAGGGUCACUCGAUACUGAUCGACUCGAAGGCAGAAGAGGGAAGCGGAAUUCCCGGUGUAGUGGUGAAAUGCGUAGAUAUCGGGAGGAACACCAGUGGCGAAGGCGGCUUUCUGGUCUGCUCUUGACGCUGAGGCGCGAAAGCUAGGGUAGCAAACGGG
This 253-nucleotide ribosomal RNA is filed under the name uncultured bacterium. RNAcentral describes it as "partial 16S ribosomal RNA". It matches the Rfam family "Bacterial small subunit ribosomal RNA", at positions 524 to 776 of the family's 1533-position model. The record is from RNAcentral.